RNAcentral lists this ribosomal RNA (1386 nucleotides) under uncultured organism. Its description in RNAcentral is "16S ribosomal RNA". It matches the Rfam family "Bacterial small subunit ribosomal RNA". The record is from RNAcentral.
UGAACGCUAGCGGCAUGCCUAACACAUGCAAGUCGAGGGGUAAUGUCAGCUUGCUGAAUACACGACCGGCGCACGGGUGAGUAACACGUUUGCAACCUACCUCUAACUGGAGGAUAGCCCGAAGAAAUUCGGAUUAAUAUUCCAUAAAGUCAAUUUAAGGCAUCUUUUAUUGAUUAAAGCUCCGGCGGUUAGAGAUGGGCAUGCGUGUCAUUAGCUAGUUGGUGAGGUAACGGCUCACCAAGGCCACGAUGACUAGGGGGUCUGAGAGGAUGAUCCCCCACACUGGUACUGAGACACGGACCAGACUCCUACGGGGGGCAGCAGUGAGGAAUAUUGGGCAAUGGACGCAAGUCUGACCCAGCCAUGCCGCGUGCAGGAUGACUGCCCUAUGGGUUGUAAACUGCUUUUGUUUGGGAAGAAACCCCCGAUCGUGAUCGGGGCUGACGGUACCAUACGAAUAAGCAUCGGCUAACUCCGUGCCAGCAGCCGCGGUAAUACGGAGGAUGCAAGCGUUAUCCGGAUUCAUUGGGUUUAAAGGGUGCGCAGGCGGAAUAUUAAGUCAGUGGUGAAAUCCUGCAGCUUAACUGUAGAACUGCCAUUGAUACUGAUAUUCUUGAAUAUAGUUGAGGUAGGCGGAAUGUGUAAUGUAGCGGUGAAAUGCUUAGAUAUUACACAGAACACCAAUUGCGAAGGCAGCUCACUAAACUAAUAUUGACGCUGAGGCACGAAAGCGUGGGUAACAAACAGGAUUAGAUACCCUGGUAGUCCACGCUGUAAACUAUGAUCACUCGCUGUUGGCAAUACAUCGUCAGCGGCUGAGCGAAAGCAUUAAGUGAUCCACCUGGGGAGUACGGUCGCAAGAUUGAAACUCAAAGGAAUUGACGGGGGCCCGCACAAGCGGAGGAACAUGUGGUUUAAUUCGAUGAUACGCGAGGAACCUUACCUGGGCUUAAAUGCAGAGCGACGUCCGCCGAAAGGUGGAUUCCUUCGGGCGAUCUGCAAGGUGCUGCAUGGUUGUCGUCAGCUCGUGCUGUGAGGUGUCGGGUUAAGUCCCAUAACGAGCGCAACCCUUAUCGUUAGUUGCCAGCGGGUAAUGCCGGGGACUCUAACGAAACUGCCGGUGUAAACCGUGAGGAAGGUGGGGAUGACGUCAAAUCAGCACGGCCCUUAUGUCCAGGGCUACACACGUGUUACAAUGGUCGGUACAGAGGGCAGCUACCACGCGAGUGGAUGCUAAUCUCGAAAACCGGUCUCAGUUCGGAUUGAAGUCUGCAACUCGACUUCAUGAAGCUGGAUUCGCUAGUAAUCGCGCAUCAGCCAUGGCGCGGUGAAUACGUUCCCGGGCCUGUACACACCGCCCGUCAAGCCAUGGAAGCUUGGGGUACC